Molecule: ribosomal RNA, 751 nt
Filed under: uncultured bacterium
Lineage: Bacteria
Description: bacterial SSU rRNA
Rfam family: Bacterial small subunit ribosomal RNA
Source: RNAcentral
GAAGGAAAGCUUGCUUUCCUAAAUCUAGUGGCGAACGGGGGAGUAACACGUAGGUGACCUGCCCAUGUGCCCGGGAUAACUUCUGGAAACGGAUGCUAAACCCGGAUAGGGUAGCAGACAAGCAUUUGACUGCUAUUAAAGUGGCUAAGGCCAAGAACAUGGAUGGACCUGCGGUGCAUUAGCUAGUUGGUGAGGUAACGGCCCACCAAGGCGACGAUGCAUAGCCGGCCUGAGAGGGCGGACGGCCACAUUGGGACUGAGACACGGCCCAAACUCCUACGGGAGGCAGCAGUAGGGAAUUUUCGUCAAUGGGGGGAACCCUGAACGAGCAAUGCCGCGUGAGUGAGGAAGGUCUUCGGAUCGUAAAGCUCUGUUGUAAGAGAAAAACGGCACUCAUAGGGAAUGAUGAGUGAGUGAUGGUAUCUUACCAGAAAGUCACGGCUAACUACGUGCCAGCAGCCGCGGUAAUACGUAGGUGGCGAGCGUUAUCCGGAAUGAUUGGGCGUAAAGGGUGCGUAGGUGGCAGAUCAAGUCUGGAGUAAAAGGUAUGGGCUCAACCCGUACUUGCUCUGGAAACUGAUCAGCUAGAGAACAGAAGAGGACGGCGGAACUCCAUGUGUAGCGGUAAAAUGCGUAGAUAUAUGGAAGAACACCGGUGGCGAAGGCGGCCGUCUGGUCUGGAUUCUGACACUGAAGCACGAAAGCGUGGGGAGCAAAUAGGAUUAGAUACCCUAGUAGUCCACGCCGUAAA